Molecule: long non-coding RNA, 1697 nt
Organism: Lagopus muta (rock ptarmigan)
Lineage: Eukaryota; Metazoa; Chordata; Aves; Galliformes; Phasianidae
Exons: 3
Source: RefSeq, a predicted model, not a curated record
UUUUACAAUGUACGGAAUCACAGAAAAUUGUAGGGGUUGGAAGGGACCUCUGGAGAUGUUCGAGGCUCCACAACCUCUCUGGGCAGCCUGUUCCCAUGUUGUUUCACUCUCAGAGUAAAGAAGUUUGUUCAUGUGGAACAUAUAGCAAAUAUGACAAUGCAGAAUCUCCCUCUAUUGAAGCUCAGAUUUGAGAACAAAAUCGUUGUUAAAUCCACAAGUAGAAGAAAGUGAAGAUGCAACUGCGUAACAAUCCUCUUCCCAAAGAAAAGUCACCAUGGUCAACUACGAGGAGAAAAUAAGAUGAAUUAGCCCUAUAGAUAUAAAGAGCAAGAUUAAACUUAAAAUAGAUGGAAAAGAAGAAAGGAAAAAAGAGUCCAGAAGGAAGUUUAAUAAAAGUUAGAAGAAUGAGGAAGGAAAACCUUUUUUCUGAUCCUGAAAUCAAAGAGCCCCAUCUCUCUAGAGAUAGAACAAGAGGUAAUGGCCUUAAGUUGCAUCAGGGGAAGUUCAUAUUGGACAUUAGAAGAUGCUUCUUCUCUGAAAGAGCAUUGAGACAGUGCCCAGGGAGGUGGUGGAGACACCAUCUCUGGAAGGGUUAAAGAAACAGAGAUGUGGCACUGAGGGAAGUAGCUUAAGAGGGGAACUGACAGAUCAUGGCCUGAACUGGUGAUUGAGCACCUGGAGAAGAGGUGUGGCUGGCCUAGGAAGCACAGGCUAAGUGUUUGCACCUGUGCUCCCCAUGUAACCGCAAGAGGUGGGCCCAGGGUGGCUUGUAUAAGGGCUGGGCACUAGAAGAAGAGCAUCUCUUGGAUCUGGGAUGCUUCCUGAAGAGGUGUGCUGUGUGGUGAGAGAGCCUGUCACAGCUGGAACCGCAGUGCAGUGAGCAGCUAGAUGAUCUUGCAUAAGUGCUUACAGCCAGUGCUAAUGGCCACAGCCUGGAGGAAAUGGGCAUCACCUACAGCGAAUGCCCAGUUCCCUCAAACAGUUUUUGGUGGUGAAGAAUGAGCUGGCAGGAAGGACCUCAGCCACACCUCAGCUCCUUUAUGGAAAGCCCAGUUGCCUACUUAAACUCAUCUCGAUUGGAUUUGUGACUGGAUUUGUACCGCUUUGAGGUGGAAGCGUGGCCUUCCUGCUGCCUGCUGAGAGCCUCCAUGGGAGGGAUGGAGCAGCCAGGGGGACUCGGUGCUCCCCAGCGAUACUCAUCCAUUGAGGCUGGGGUGACACCUGCGUGGCAACAGUAAGGUGGGCCAGAAUGGGGGCAGGGCCUUGAGCAGCAAAGCCAAUGGGGAUUAGUUGUGCGUGUGGGAAUAACAGAACACUUGAGGAUCCAAAGAAGAAUUCAUGUGUUGAAUAAAAUGAUAAUUUCUUUGGAGAGCUACAAUUCAAGAGCAGUAUUUGCUGUGCGGUGGCUUACUGAUUUCAGUCCAGGUCCUGGUAGGAUAUCGGUGCUGGUCAGACUACAAGUUCUCAGCAUGGCACAGAGUGGGCUGUUGUGGGGAAGGCUGGCUCUCUCCUGGCCAGAACCAGCAUGCUGAGCAGCGAGAUCUGCAAGGAUGGGGGCUGAGCAACCUGCACACACUGAGUUAUAAAAUGGCCUUUAAAGUGGCGAGGUGAAUAACCAAGACAAGCAGAAAAAGAUUUGUGCUUUUAUUGUUGUGUACCCAAGGUUCAAGUGCCGCAUCAGUGGUGCUUCAGCCUUC